Molecule: long non-coding RNA, 553 nt
Organism: Cryptotermes secundus
Lineage: Eukaryota; Metazoa; Arthropoda; Insecta; Blattodea; Kalotermitidae
Exons: 3
Source: RefSeq, a predicted model, not a curated record
UGGCCACCUACACAAGGACUGCCCAGAAAAGGAGAACUCUGCCUCCACCACAGUAUGUUGCAACUGCCGAUUGGCAGAAGGAGAAAAGCCGCAUCCAGCCAAUUAUCAUGGUUGCAAAUAUGCCAAGGAAGAGCAACAGAAAAGGAAGGCUCAGAGAAUGUCAAAAACUACCACAGGGAGGGUGUUCUCUUCAACUAUCGUCACCCCAGAUGUCUCCUUCGAGGUGGCACUGAGGCGGUACAGUAGAGCAGCAACAGCGCCCUCAGGAAAGCCAUGUUCUGGUGGCUCCACCCCCAACAAGGAAGUAGAUUAUACCAUCCCCGGCACUGCAGAAGGAAACAGCAGGAAUGCUGAGAAUUCUGCUACAGAGAGCUGAAGAAACAUUUCCUGCUGAGACAGAAAGGAUGAACUGUACAAAUUCAGAGAAGGUUUUAGUGGGUCCACAUGGUGAGACGUACCCAGCAAGUCAUGAUGCAAAACAGGCCAUGAAUAUAAAAGCUGAGGAAGUUUCAGAUGCAGAAGAGGAAGCAGAUCCUCUGCAAAUAACAGUUCA